UACGGGGGGGGCAAGCGUUGUUCGGAAUUACUGGGCGUAAAGGGCUUGUAGGUGGCCAACUAAGUCAGACGUGAAAUCCCUCGGCUUAACCGGGGAACUGCGUCUGAUACUGGAUGGCUUGAGUGUGGGAGAGGGAUGCGGAAUUCCAGGUGUAGCGGUGAAAUGCGUAGAUAUCAGGAGGAACACCGGUGGCGAAGGCGGCUUGCUGGGCCUUACCUGACGCUGAGGAGCGAAAGCGUGGGGAGCGAACAGG
This 253-nucleotide ribosomal RNA is filed under the name uncultured bacterium. Its description in RNAcentral is "partial 16S ribosomal RNA". It matches the Rfam family "Bacterial small subunit ribosomal RNA", at positions 524 to 776 of the family's 1533-position model. The record is from RNAcentral.